GGUCCCUUGGUGUAGUGGUGAUCACACUCGCUUUACACGCGAGGGGUCCUGGGUUCGAACCCCAGAGGGACCA
Corticium candelabrum is the source of this 73-nucleotide non-coding RNA. The record is from the annotation of a RefSeq genome assembly. Lineage: Eukaryota; Metazoa; Porifera; Homoscleromorpha; Homosclerophorida; Plakinidae.